CCUACGGGAGGCUGCAGUGAGGAAUAUUGGUCAAUGGGCGCGAGCCUGAACCAGCCAAGUAGCGUGAAGGAUGACUGCCCUACGGGUUGUAAACUUCUUUUAUAAAGGAAUAAAGUGAGGCACGUGUGCCUUUUUGUAUGUACUUUAUGAAUAAGGAUCGGCAAACUCCGUGCCAGCAGCCGCGGUAAUACGGAGGUUCCGAGCGUUAUCCGGAUUUAUUGGGUUUAAAGGGAGCGUAGAUGGGUUGUUAAGUCAGUUGUGAAAGUUUGCGGCUCAACCGUAAAAUUGCAAUUGAUACUGGAGGUUAUGGGGACAGUUGGGGUAGGGGGAAUUCGUGGGGUAGCGGGGAAAUG
RNAcentral lists this ribosomal RNA (353 nucleotides) under uncultured bacterium. RNAcentral's name for it is "partial 16S ribosomal RNA". It matches the Rfam family "Bacterial small subunit ribosomal RNA", at positions 338 to 688 of the family's 1533-position model. The record is from RNAcentral.